Molecule: ribosomal RNA, 234 nt
Filed under: uncultured Actinomycetes bacterium
Lineage: Bacteria; Bacillati; Actinomycetota; Actinomycetes
Description: uncultured actinobacterium partial 16S ribosomal RNA
Rfam family: Bacterial small subunit ribosomal RNA
Source: RNAcentral
GAGUUUGUAUCCUGGCUCAGGACGAACGCUGGCGGCGUGCUUAAAACAUGCAAGUCGAACGGGUCCAGGGAGUGGCAACACUCCGGAAGACCUAGUGGCGAAACGGGUGCGUAACACGUGAGGAACCUGCCCCAGAGACCGGGAUAACCCUCCGAAAGGAGAGCUAAUACCGGGAUGUGCUCAUCGGACCGCCUGGUCUGGUGAGGAAAAUGGAUUCCGCUCUGGGAUGGCCUC